This 84-nucleotide small RNA is filed under the name Xanthomonas arboricola. RNAcentral describes it as "isrK". The record is from RNAcentral. Lineage: Bacteria; Pseudomonadati; Pseudomonadota; Gammaproteobacteria; Lysobacterales; Lysobacteraceae. RNAcentral also lists the same sequence under 2 other names.
GUCGCCGCACAAUCGGCGACCGGGUUUUGCAGCCCGACACAUGAGGCGCACCAGCGCCCAUCGAUCGAUGCACGGCGCUUUUUU